This 265-nucleotide ribosomal RNA is filed under the name uncultured bacterium. RNAcentral describes it as "partial 16S ribosomal RNA". It matches the Rfam family "Bacterial small subunit ribosomal RNA", at positions 793 to 1055 of the family's 1533-position model. The record is from RNAcentral.
GUCCACGCCGUAAACGAUGAGUGCUAGGUGCUGCGGGUAUUGACCCCUGCGGUGCCGUAGCUAACGCGUUAAGCACUCCGCCUGGGGAGUACGGCCGCAAGGCUAAAACUCAAAGGAAUUGACGGGGGCCCGCACAAGCGGUGGAGCAUGUGGUUCAAUUCGACGCAACGCGCAGAACCUUACCUGGGUUAAAUCCACUCGAAGCUGGCAGAGAUGCCGGUGUGCCUUUCGGGGAGCGAGUGAGAAGGUGCUGCAUGGCUGUCGU